Molecule: ribosomal RNA, 1839 nt
Filed under: Staphylococcus aureus
Lineage: Bacteria; Bacillati; Bacillota; Bacilli; Caryophanales; Staphylococcaceae
Also listed under: 1 other name
Description: partial 23S ribosomal RNA
Rfam family: Bacterial large subunit ribosomal RNA
Source: RNAcentral
UGAUAAGGUCCGUGUUCGAAAGGGAAACAGCCCAGACCACCAGCUAAGGUCCCAAAAUAUAUGUUAAGUGGAAAAGGAUGUGGCGUUGCCCAGACAACUAGGAUGUUGGCUUAGAAGCAGCCAUCAUUUAAAGAGUGCGUAAUAGCUCACUAGUCGAGUGACACUGCGCCGAAAAUGUACCGGGGCUAAACAUAUUACCGAAGCUGUGGAUUGUCCUUUGGACAAUGGUAGGAGAGCGUUCUAAGGGCGUUGAAGCAUGAUCGUAAGGACAUGUGGAGCGCUUAGAAGUGAGAAUGCCGGUGUGAGUAGCGAAAGACGGGUGAGAAUCCCGUCCACCGAUUGACUAAGGUUUCCAGAGGAAGGCUCGUCCGCUCUGGGUUAGUCGGGUCCUAAGCUGAGGCCGACAGGCGUAGGCGAUGGAUAACAGGUUGAUAUUCCUGUACCACCUAUAAUCGUUUUAAUCGAUGGGGGGACGCAGUAGGAUAGGCGAAGCGUGCGAUUGGAUUGCACGUCUAAGCAGUAAGGCUGAGUAUUAGGCAAAUCCGGUACUCGUUAAGGCUGAGCUGUGAUGGGGAGAAGACAUUGUGUCUUCGAGUCGUUGAUUUCACACUGCCGAGAAAAGCCUCUAGAUAGAAAAUAGGUGCCCGUACCGCAAACCGACACAGGUAGUCAAGAUGAGAAUUCUAAGGUGAGCGAGCGAACUCUCGUUAAGGAACUCGGCAAAAUGACCCCGUAACUUCGGGAGAAGGGGUGCUCUUUAGGGUUAACGCCCAGAAGAGCCGCAGUGAAUAGGCCCAAGCGACUGUUUAUCAAAAACACAGGUCUCUGCUAAACCGUAAGGUGAUGUAUAGGGGCUGACGCCUGCCCGGUGCUGGAAGGUUAAGAGGAGUGGUUAGCUUCUGCGAAGCUACGAAUCGAAGCCCCAGUAAACGGCGGCCGUAACUAUAACGGUCCUAAGGUAGCGAAAUUCCUUGUCGGGUAAGUUCCGACCCGCACGAAAGGCGUAACGAUUUGGGCACUGUCUCAACGAGAGACUCGGUGAAAUCAUAGUACCUGUGAAGAUGCAGGUUACCCGCGACAGGACGGAAAGACCCCGUGGAGCUUUACUGUAGCCUGAUAUUGAAAUUCGGCACAGCUUGUACAGGAUAGGUAGGAGCCUUUGAAACGUGAGCGCUAGCUUACGUGGAGGCGCUGGUGGGAUACUACCCUAGCUGUGUUGGCUUUCUAACCCGCACCACUUAUCGUGGUGGGAGACAGUGUCAGGCGGGCAGUUUGACUGGGGCGGUCGCCUCCUAAAAGGUAACGGAGGCGCUCAAAGGUUCCCUCAGAAUGGUUGGAAAUCAUUCAUAGAGUGUAAAGGCAUAAGGGAGCUUGACUGCGAGACCUACAAGUCGAGCAGGGUCGAAAGACGGACUUAGUGAUCCGGUGGUUCCGCAUGGAAGGGCCAUCGCUCAACGGAUAAAAGCUACCCCGGGGAUAACAGGCUUAUCUCCCCCAAGAGUUCACAUCGACGGGGAGGUUUGGCACCUCGAUGUCGGCUCAUCGCAUCCUGGGGCUGUAGUCGGUCCCAAGGGUUGGGCUGUUCGCCCAUUAAAGCGGUACGCGAGCUGGGUUCAGAACGUCGUGAGACAGUUCGGUCCCUAUCCGUCGUGGGCGUAGGAAAUUUGAGAGGAGCUGUCCUUAGUACGAGAGGACCGGGAUGGACAUACCUCUGGUGUACCAGUUGUCGUGCCAACGGCAUAGCUGGGUAGCUAUGUGUGGACGGGAUAAGUGCUGAAAGCAUCUAAGCAUGAAGCCCCCCUCAAGAUGAGAUUUCCCAACUUCGGUUAUAAGAUCCCU